UGGGAACGGGCGCUAAACCCCAAAUGCCGAGUGGUGAAAAGAUUUCUGCCUAAGGAAGAGCUCGCGGCUGAUUAGCUAGUUGGUAGGAUAAAAGACUACCAAGGCAACGAUCAGUAGCUGGUUUGAGAGGACGAUCAGCCACACUGGGACUGAGACACGGCCCAGACUCCUACGGGAGGCAGCAGUGGGGAAUCUUCUGCAAUGGGCGAAAGCCUGACAGAGCAAUACCGCGUGAGGGAUAAAAGCCUGAGGGUCGUAAACCUCUUUUUUCAGGGAAGAAAUUUGACGGUACCUGAAGAAUAAGCAUCGGCUAACUCCGUGCCAGCAGCCGCGGUGUACGGAGGAUGCAAGCGUUAUCCGGAAUCACUGGGCGUAAAGCGUCUGUAGGUGGCUUUUCAGUCUGCUGUUAAGACUGAGGCUUAACCUCAGAAGACAGUGGAAACUGACAAGCUAGACAUGGUAGGGGUAAGGGAAUUCCCAGUGUAGCGGUGAAUGCGUAGAUUUGGGAAGAACCCUGUGGCGAAGCGCUUUACUGGACAUUGCUGACACUGAGAGACGAAGCUAGGGUAGCAAUGGGAUAGAUACCCCAUAGUC
This 594-nucleotide ribosomal RNA is filed under the name uncultured Cyanidium sp. Its description in RNAcentral is "SSU rRNA". It matches the Rfam family "Bacterial small subunit ribosomal RNA", at positions 151 to 795 of the family's 1533-position model. The record is from RNAcentral. Lineage: Eukaryota; Rhodophyta; Bangiophyceae; Cyanidiales; Cyanidiaceae.